This 466-nucleotide ribosomal RNA is filed under the name uncultured bacterium. Its description in RNAcentral is "bacterial SSU rRNA". It matches the Rfam family "Bacterial small subunit ribosomal RNA", at positions 26 to 518 of the family's 1533-position model. The record is from RNAcentral.
AGGACGAACGCUGGCGGCAUGCCUAACACAUGCAAAGUCGAACGAGAGUAGCAAUACUCGAGUGGCAACGGGUGAGUAACACGUGAGCAACCUGCCUUACACAACGGGAUACCUACUGGAAACAGUAGUUAAUACGGUAUAAGACCACAGUACCGCAUGGUACAGUGGUAAAAGAUUUAUCGGUGUAAGAUGGGCUCGCGGCGCAUUAGCUAGUUGGUGAGGUAACGGCUCACCAAGGCGACGAUGCGUAGCCGACCUGAGAGGGUGAUCGGCCACAUUGGGACUGAGAUACGGCCCAGACUCCUACGGGAGGCAGCAGUGGGAAUAUUGGGCAAUGGAGGAAACUCCUUACCCAGCAAUGCCGCGUGAACGAAGAAGGUCGUAAGAUUGUAAAGUUCUUUAGUCAGGGAUUAAUAAAUGAAAGAUCUGAAGAAUAAGCUCCGGCUAACUACGUGCCAGCCGCGGC